GGUAGUCCAUGCCGUAAACGAUGUCUACUAGCCGUUGGGGCCUUUGAGGCUUUAGUGGCGCAGCUAACGCGAUAAGUAGACCGCCUGGGGAGUACGGUCGCAAGACUAAAACUCAAAUGAAUUGACGGGGGCCCGCACAAGCGGUGGAGCAUGUGGUUUAAUUCGAUGCAACGCGAAGAACCUUACCUGGUCUUGACAUAGUAAGAACUUUCCAGAGAUGGAUUGGUGCCUUCGGGAACCUACAUACAGGUGCUGCGUGGCUGUCGUCAGCUCGUGUCGUGAGAUGUUGGGUUAAGUCCCGCAACGAGCGCAACCCUUUUCCUUAUUUGCCAGCGGGUUAAGCCGGGAACUUUAAGGAUACUGCCAGUGACAAACUGGAGGAAGGCGGGGACGACGUCAAGUCAUCAUGGCCCUUACGACCAGGGCUACACACGUGCUACAAUGGUCGGUACAAAGGGUUGCUACCUCGCGAGAGGAUGCUAAUCUCAAAAAGCCGAUCGUAGUCCGGAUUGGAGUCUGCAACUCGACUCCAUGAAGUCGGAAUCGCUAGUAAUCGCGGAUCAGAAUGCCGCGGUGAAUACGUUCCCGGGCCUUGUACACACCGCCCGUCACACCAUGGGAGUUGGUCUUACCCGACGGCGCUGCGCCAACCGCAAGGGGGCAGGCGACCACGGUAGGGUCAGCGACUGGGGUGAAGUCGUAACAAGGUAGCCGUAGGGGAACCUGC
RNAcentral lists this ribosomal RNA (727 nucleotides) under uncultured bacterium. RNAcentral's name for it is "bacterial SSU rRNA". It matches the Rfam family "Bacterial small subunit ribosomal RNA", at positions 789 to 1515 of the family's 1533-position model. The record is from RNAcentral.